UACGUAGGGUGCAAGCGUUAAUCGGAAUUACUGGGCGUAAAGCGUGCGCAGGCGGUGAUGUAAGACAGAUGUGAAAUCCCCGGGCUCAACUUGGGAACUGCAUUUGUGACUGCAUCGCUGGAGUGCGGCAGAGGGGGAUGGAAUUCCGCGUGUAGCAGUGAAAUGCGUAGAUAUGCGGAGGAACACCAAUGGCGAAGGCAAUCCCCUGGGCCUGCACUGACGCUCAUGCACGAAAGCGUGGGGAGCAAACAGG
RNAcentral lists this ribosomal RNA (253 nucleotides) under uncultured bacterium. RNAcentral's name for it is "partial 16S ribosomal RNA". It matches the Rfam family "Bacterial small subunit ribosomal RNA", at positions 524 to 776 of the family's 1533-position model. The record is from RNAcentral.